This is a non-coding RNA of Sus scrofa (pig), 230 nucleotides long. The record is from RefSeq and is a predicted model, not a curated record. Lineage: Eukaryota; Metazoa; Chordata; Mammalia; Artiodactyla; Suidae.
CUUCCUCCAGCAAAGGGCAAAGCUUUCCUUCGCCUCCUGAGCUCAGUCCCUUCUUCGGGCUCAAGCGACACUUGUUUGGGGACCAACCAGGGAGGGUGGGUCCCAAGAGUAGGGCAGAAGGUAACAGAACUCAAGGCUGGUGGUGACCGGAGACUGGUGGUGAUGGGACGCUGGUGGUUCUGCCCUCCAAGAUGCCCAGUGCCUAAGAGCUGCCUGCCUGCUACCUGCUG